UACGGAGGGGGCUAGCGUUGUUCGGAAUUACUGGGCGUAAAGCGCACGUAGGCGGCUUUGUAAGUUAGAGGUGAAAGUCCGGAGCUCAACUCCGGAAUUGCCUUUAAGACUGCAUCGCUUGAAUCAUGGAGAGGUGAGUGGAAUUCCGAGUGUAGAGGUGAAAUUCGUAGAUAUUCGGAAGAACACCAGUGGCGAAGGCGACUCACUGGACAUGUAUUGACGCUGAGGUGCGAAAGCGUGGGGAGCAAACAGG
This 253-nucleotide ribosomal RNA is filed under the name uncultured bacterium. Its description in RNAcentral is "partial 16S ribosomal RNA". It matches the Rfam family "Bacterial small subunit ribosomal RNA", at positions 524 to 776 of the family's 1533-position model. The record is from RNAcentral.